Molecule: ribosomal RNA, 253 nt
Filed under: uncultured bacterium
Lineage: Bacteria
Description: partial 16S ribosomal RNA
Rfam family: Bacterial small subunit ribosomal RNA
Source: RNAcentral
UACAGAGGGAGCAAGCGUUAAUCGGAAUUACUGGGCGUAAAGCGUGCGUAGACGGUUACAUAAGUCAGAUGUGAAAGCCCCGGGCUCAACCUGGGAAUUGCAUUUGAGACUGCGUAGCUAGGGUGCGGAAGAGGGAAGCGGAAUUUCCGGUGUAGCGGUGAAAUGCGUAGAUAUCGGAAGGAACACCAGUGGCGAAAGCGGCUUCCUGGUCCAGCACCGACGUUCAGGCACGAAAGCGUGGGGAGCAAACAGG